RNAcentral lists this ribosomal RNA (463 nucleotides) under uncultured bacterium. RNAcentral's name for it is "partial 16S ribosomal RNA". It matches the Rfam family "Bacterial small subunit ribosomal RNA", at positions 28 to 507 of the family's 1533-position model. The record is from RNAcentral.
GAUGAACGCUGACAGAAUGCUUAACACAUGCAAGUCUUUCGCGAAGCUGUGCUUGCUCCGCCUAUCCAAUGCGGACGGGUGAGUAACGCGUCAGGAACUUGCCCUGCCUUCAGGGCUAACAGACCGACACGACUGCUAAGACCAGGCCAAGUCAUGCUGUCUCCUGUCCAGCUCGAUGAAAAGAGAUGCUGCAGGAGACCCUUGCGUCCUAGUCCCUUGUUGGUUGGGUAACGGCCCAACAAGCCGCUGAUAGGUGGCCGGCCUGAGAGGCUGGACGGCCACAAGGGGACUGAGAUACGGCCGUUACUACUACGGGAGGCAGCAGUGAGGAAUAUUGGACAAUGGGGGCAACACUGAUCCAGCAAUUCUGUGUGCACGAUGAAGGUUUUCGGAUUGUAAAGAGCUUUCAGCAGGGAAGAAAAAAAUGACGGUACCUGCAGAAGAAGCGACGGCUAAAUACGUG